GAUGAAGAACGUAGUGAAAUGCGAUACGUAAUGUGAAUUGCAGAAUUCAGUGAAUCAUCGAAUCUUUGAACGCACAUUGCGCCCGCCAGCACUCUGGCGGGCAUGCCUGUUCGAGCGUCAUUUCAACCAUCAAGCCCCAGGCUUGCGUUGGAGCCCUGCGGCUGCCGCAGCCUCCUAAAAGCAGUGGCGGGCUCGCUAUCACACCGAGUGCAGUAGAUUACUCUUCGCUCAGGGCGUGCAGCGGGUUCCGGCCGUGAAACCCCCUACUUUUAAAGGUUGACCUCGGAUCAGGUAGGAAUACCCGCUGAACUUAAGCAUAUCAAAAGCGGAGGA
RNAcentral lists this unclassified non-coding RNA (333 nucleotides) under soil metagenome. RNAcentral describes it as "partial contains 5.8S ribosomal RNA, internal transcribed spacer 2, and large subunit ribosomal RNA". The stretch from base 1 to 120 matches the Rfam family "5.8S ribosomal RNA", at positions 35 to 154 of the family's 154-position model. The record is from RNAcentral.